GAAUUGGUUUGGCCAUUCUCUACGGCCGUCGGAAUCGGAAGACAGCCGUCGGGUUCUUCCAUCCCUACACCAACGACGGCGGAGGCGGUGAGAGAGUUCUGUGGUGCGCCGUCAAAGCUAUUCAGGAUGAAAACCCUACCCUCGAUUGCCUCAUCUUCACCGGCGAUCAUGAUGCUUCACCAGAGAGCUUGAUGGCUCGUGCUAUCGAUCGAUUUGGCGUCAAACUUCAUUUUCCACCCAAGGUUGUGCAUC
RNAcentral lists this unclassified non-coding RNA (252 nucleotides) under Hevea brasiliensis (rubber tree). Lineage: Eukaryota; Viridiplantae; Streptophyta; Magnoliopsida; Malpighiales; Euphorbiaceae. The record is from RNAcentral.